GCCCUGCAGGAGGAAGGGAAACCCAAAAACGGAGGGGGAAGCAAAGCAGCGGCUCCCCGCCUUCCUCCUGCAAAGGGGGAACGGGCUCGGUGCGGCCGUGCUCUCGGGGUCCCCAGGCUGACUCCCUGCUUGCCAUGGGGACGUGUCGGGGCCGGUGUUCCCAGCGCUGGCGGCUGGCCGGCCCCCGGGGCUGCGCGGCGCUCACCCAACUGGGCCAACCCGCUCGCGCACGGCCCCGUCCCGCCGACGUGCCCAGGAGCCCGGCCGGUUCCACCAGCCCGGCUCGCCGCCCUCCUGCGUCACGGCGGCGAGGUGGCCACGAACCCGCAGCCACCGAACCCGGCUUCAAUCCAAUCCCUAGGGCUCAGCGCGGCCGUGCCUCAGUUUCCCCACCUGCAGCAGCUUCGUUUCCCCGCGGCUUUCCCCCGCCCCGGGGAAGGUGACGGGGAGGGGAAGGCCCUGGGGCUGCGCGUCAGCUCCAGCCCUGCCACGGCUUCCCCCGGCCCCGCUGCUGGCUCCUGCAGGGAGAGGCCCUUUGGGUCCCCGGGUGGAAAGUGCCGGGGCGCGGGGCCGGCGGCUCCGUUCCGGGUAGCGGGCAGGAAGCCGGGGGUGGUGAGCGCUGCUGCGGUCCCACGGCCGGGUGAGCCGAGCGCCCGCGUGCGCCCCGGUGCCGUGUGGGGCCGUGGACGGACAGCGGGGCUGCAGGCUCCAGGCAGCGGUGGCUGCGGUGUCACAGCUGGGGACACCAUGGGCAGGAGUGGCCCCGUGGUGUGUCCAUCCCCAGCCCGCUGUGAGCCCACCCUGGGGGGCUGUGGGGUGAAGCUGCGCUGCUCCCUGCCGACCCCCGAGCUUCUGCACCCAGUGUGGGGGCGCAGCGGGGGCACUCCGAGGUCCCCAGCACCAGGGGGCACAGCGGGGGCACCGCUGGGUGCAUGGGCAAAGCCUGACCCCAGGGAAGUGGGGGCUGAUCUGUGGGGCUGUUAUUUAGGGAGGGGGUGGGAGUCCCCUCAGGCCAUGGUCCCCGUUCAGUGGCAUCCCCUGCAGCCUGGGGCUGUGCCCCCCCCACUCCCCCAUGUCCCCAUCCAGCUGCAUCCCCGCACCCCAGGGACCUGGGGGAGGAAACCAGGGGAUGGAGCAAUCCAGAGCCCCACAGGACCCCCAGCACCCUACGGAUGGGAUUUCCCAGCUGGGGCCGGUGCCUUCUCCCUGCAGGAACACUCAGGAGGCUGGGGGGGGCUCACUGAACCCCAGAGCCCCCCCUGGGGCAGCCGGCGUCCCGGGGCCGAGCUGCGGAGGAAGCCGAGGCCGGGUGAGGAAGUGGCUCCGGUUCCUGCGGUGGCUUGUGCCGCACCGGGCGGCCCGCUGCCAGCGCCCGGCUUUGAC
This 1383-nucleotide long non-coding RNA is filed under the name Anas zonorhyncha (Eastern spot-billed duck). RNAcentral's name for it is "lncRNA (ENSAZOG00000012465.1)". Lineage: Eukaryota; Metazoa; Chordata; Aves; Anseriformes; Anatidae. The record is from RNAcentral.